CUGACUUUAAAAUGCAAGAUUUCGCUCCACCUUAAACUAUAGCUUCAAAUAAUCAUUAGAAAUAUCAUUUAUAAAGAAAACAAAAACAAGAACAAAUAAAUGAAACAAUAUUCUGACAAAGUGGCGAACCAAUCAUAUAUGCAUGUGCUUACACAGCUCAAUCCUACCUACACAACCGCUUCCAGAACGUGCAGCCAUUCUCCACCCUACACGUGGCACUCAACAACGGCCAGCAUAAAUUUAUGCCCUAUUAAACUUUUUUAAUCAUAAUUAACAUCAAAAAUCCAGAGUGGCCGUUAACUUUGAAGCAAAAAAAAUAAAUAAAUUACUAAUAAUUUUGUAAUUUAAUAUUAAAUCAUGUAUCUUUGUUCUCCUCAUUAUCCCCUCUCUAUAUAUACCUCAUAAGAUAAGACAUUAAACACACAAUCAAGGCAUUCAUUUCAACAAAAUUUAGAGUGCUUUGUUUACAAAGUUUUUAUUUUUUAUUUUUUAGUAAACAAAACAGAUUUUUUUCUGAAAUUAUUAAUUUGGAAAUGGACUCUGUGAGAAAAUAUAUUUUGAUCGUUAUUUUGGCUUUGAUUUUGUCUUUGUUUGUUCCCUCUAUGAAUGCUCAAUCUCCUGCUCCUGCUCCCUCAAGCGAUGGGGCAACAAUUGAUCAAGGGGUGGCUUAUGUGCUCAUGAUGGUUGCUUUGGCCUUGACUUACAUCAUGCAUUAACUCUUCUAUUUCUUUUUUAGUUUCCAACAAUUUAUUGGGUUUAUUUUUGACUUUUUUAUAGUCAAACUUCAUUCUUUGUAAUGUAAAGAUUCAAUAUUCUUCCUUCAUUCUCUUAGUUUCAUUUAAUUCUUUGGAAUUAUUCUCAAAUGUACCUUGUACUUAUGACACGAUUUUUAAAACCUUCAAGAUUUGAUUCUCUUUUAUAAAUA
This is a long non-coding RNA of Lactuca sativa (garden lettuce), 925 nucleotides long. RefSeq lists it as uncharacterized. Lineage: Eukaryota; Viridiplantae; Streptophyta; Magnoliopsida; Asterales; Asteraceae. The record is from RefSeq and is a predicted model, not a curated record.